Molecule: ribosomal RNA, 253 nt
Filed under: uncultured bacterium
Lineage: Bacteria
Description: partial 16S ribosomal RNA
Rfam family: Bacterial small subunit ribosomal RNA
Source: RNAcentral
UACGAGUGCCCCGAGCGUUAUCCGGAAUUAUUGGGCGUAAAGGGUGCGUAGGCGGCCCUGUUAGUCCUCUGUUAAAUCUCCCGGCUCAACCGGGAACAGGCAGGGGAAACGGCAGGGCUAGAGGGUAUGAGAGGUGUGUGGAACUCACAGUGUAGGGGUGAAAUCCGUUGAUAUUGUGGGGAACACCAAAUGCGAAGGCAGCACACUGGCAUACUCCUGACGCUGAGGCACGAAAGCGUGGGUCGCGAAUGGG